Molecule: ribosomal RNA, 498 nt
Filed under: uncultured bacterium
Lineage: Bacteria
Description: partial 16S ribosomal RNA
Rfam family: Bacterial small subunit ribosomal RNA
Source: RNAcentral
AUUGAACGCUGGCGGCAUGCUUUACACAUGCAAGUCGAACGGCAGCGCGGGGCAACCUGGCGGCGAGUGGCGAACGGGUGAGUAAUAUAUCGGAACGUACCCAGAAGUGGGGGAUAACGUAGCGAAAGUUACGCUACUACCGCAUACGAUCUACGGACGACAGUGGGGGACCUUCGGGCCUCAUGCUUGUGGAGCGGCCGAUAUCUGAUUAGCUAGGUGGUAGGGUAAAGGCCUACCAAGGCGACGAUCAGUAGCUGGUCUGAGAGGACGACCAGCCACACUGGGACUGAGACACGGCCCAGACUCCUACGGGAGGCAGCAGUGGGGAAUUUUGGACAAUGGGCGCAAGCCUGAUCCAGCAAUGCCGCGUGAGUGAAGAAGGCCUUCGGGUUGUAAAGCUCUUUUGUCAGGGAAGAAACGGCGAUUUCUAAUAAAGAUUGCUAAUGACGGUACCUGAAGAAUAAGCACCGGCUAACUACGUGCCAGCCGCCGCCGUAA